RNAcentral lists this ribosomal RNA (1018 nucleotides) under Escherichia coli. Its description in RNAcentral is "bacterial SSU rRNA". It matches the Rfam family "Bacterial small subunit ribosomal RNA", at positions 527 to 1533 of the family's 1533-position model. Lineage: Bacteria; Pseudomonadati; Pseudomonadota; Gammaproteobacteria; Enterobacterales; Enterobacteriaceae. RNAcentral also lists the same sequence under 1 other name. The record is from RNAcentral.
GGAGGGUGCAAGCGUUAAUCGGAAUUACUGGGCGUAAAGCGCACGCAGGCGGUUUGUUAAGUCAGAUGUGAAAUCCCCGGGCUCAACCUGGGAACUGCAUCUGAUACUGGCAAGCUUGAGUCUCGUAGAGGGGGGUAGAAUUCCAGGUGUAGCGGUGAAAUGCGUAGAGAUCUGGAGGAAUACCGGUGGCGAAGGCGGCCCCCUGGACGAAGACUGACGCUCAGGUGCGAAAGCGUGGGGAGCAAACAGGAUUAGAUACCCUGGUAGUCCACGCCGUAAACGAUGUCGACUUGGAGGUUGUGCCCUUGAGGCGUGGCUUCCGGAGCUAACGCGUUAAGUCGACCGCCUGGGGAGUACGGCCGCAAGGUUAAAACUCAAAUGAAUUGACGGGGGCCCGCACAAGCGGUGGAGCAUGUGGUUUAAUUCGAUGCAACGCGAAGAACCUUACCUGGUCUUGACAUCCACGGAAGUUUUCAGAGAUGAGAAUGUGCCUUCGGGAACCGUGAGACAGGUGCUGCAUGGCUGUCGUCAGCUCGUGUUGUGAAAUGUUGGGUUAAGUCCCGCAACGAGCGCAACCCUUAUCCUUUGUUGCCAGCGGUCCGGCCGGGAACUCAAAGGAGACUGCCAGUGAUAAACUGGAGGAAGGUGGGGAUGACGUCAAGUCAUCAUGGCCCUUACGACCAGGGCUACACACGUGCUACAAUGGCGCAUACAAAGAGAAGCGACCUCGCGAGAGCAAGCGGACCUCAUAAAGUGCGUCGUAGUCCGGAUUGGAGUCUGCAACUCGACUCCAUGAAGUCGGAAUCGCUAGUAAUCGUGGAUCAGAAUGCCACGGUGAAUACGUUCCCGGGCCUUGUACACACCGCCCGUCACACCAUGGGAGUGGGUUGCAAAAGAAGUAGGUAGCUUAACCUUCGGGAGGGCGCUUACCACUUUGUGAUUCAUGACUGGGGUGAAGUCGUAACAAGGUAACCGUAGGGGAACCUGCGGUUGGAUCACCUCCUUACCUUAAAGAAGC